Molecule: transfer RNA, 87 nt
Filed under: Alphaproteobacteria bacterium
Lineage: Bacteria; Pseudomonadati; Pseudomonadota; Alphaproteobacteria
Description: tRNA-Leu
Rfam family: tRNA
About the family: Transfer RNA (tRNA) molecules are approximately 80 nucleotides in length.
Source: RNAcentral
GCGGUCGUGGCGGAGUUGGUAGACGCGCAACGUUGAGGUCGUUGUUCCCGAAAGGGAGUGGAAGUUCAAAUCUUCUCGACCGCACCA